Daphnia carinata is the source of this 745-nucleotide long non-coding RNA. RefSeq lists it as uncharacterized. The transcript is spliced from 3 exons. The record is from RefSeq and is a predicted model, not a curated record. NCBI's taxonomy places the organism in Eukaryota, Metazoa, Arthropoda, Branchiopoda, Diplostraca, Daphniidae.
CAGUGUGUUAAAGUUAAAUUCUGUUAGUGCUGCACUAAAAGAAUUGUUAGUAAUAAGUCCAUGCAGCGAAGGAAUUGAACAAUUGUGGGACCAUAUUUGGGCUGAAAAUGGGUGUGGUACGGAAACCCAGAAAUAGCAUGAGUUCAACAUAAAACAUGAAUUAGAAUUCUAGUGGGGGAUCAAGUCAAGUCUAGAAGUGUUACAGGAUGGAAGAGUGAGCCUACAGAUGAAAAAACACUGAAAGUGCAUUACCAUUAAGGUAUGAGGUAAAGUAAUAGAGUAUGCAAAUUGUCUAAUGAGAAGUACCAUCUUGUGUGAAUGAAUCCUGUGUAACAGCAAUCCUUUAUAGUUCUGUUGUAGCUAGAAGCCUCAAAUAAUUCUGCUUCUCUUGCUAAAGAACAACUUGUCCUUUACACUCAGAGUGUUGGUGAAGCUGGGUACUUAAAGGGCCCUAAAGAUGUUUCACUUCACUGGCAUUGCAGCGAUGAACAUCAUACAUGGACUCUUUAGGAAAGGAUUUUCAGCAUACUGGGAACACAACUAUCAACAAUGCAACAUUCUACAGGUGCUAGUUUAUCAUUCAAGAGCCUUAUCCAAUGAAGUUAAUCUGCAAUUUGAAUGUCCUUUCCCAAGCUUCCACCAGAAGUUGAAUCUAUGAGUCAUGUAAGUUCCAUGAUCAACAAUUGAUGUGUUUAACGGUGUUGUUUUUCUUUUCUCAAUAUAGGUUAAUAGUAACAUUGGAUCU